Molecule: long non-coding RNA, 472 nt
Organism: Phymastichus coffea
Lineage: Eukaryota; Metazoa; Arthropoda; Insecta; Hymenoptera; Eulophidae
Exons: 3
Source: RefSeq, a predicted model, not a curated record
UGACUACAUGUUCCCGCUCCAAUUUUAUUCAACGCAUACGUGCAAUUCGAACAAUCAUCGUUAACAAAUGUAUCACAGGCAAUGGUUGCCAUGUGAAAGAAAGCAAAGCCAGCUAGGAACUUCUGGCCAGGGAACUUACGAGCAACUUGGUUAUAUCUAUUCAAAGCAAAAGACUUUAGAGAUGCUACAAAGAGUUUACAAUGAGGAUGUCGAGGAUGAUAUUCUGACCAAGAUACUGCGGAAUGCUGAUGAGGAUUAUGAGUACAAAGUGGAUCUUGACUCAGACGAUGAAAAUCUGCGACUUCUUUAGGAAAACGUCUGAAAAACAUCAACUUGGAUAAUGCUGAUGAAUUGCGGUCUGCACUAACACCAUCAGAGAGACAAGACUUUGAAGCAAUGAUCAGUAGUGGAGAGGCUUUAAAGUUACUUCCUCAGUGGAAUCCUUGGUGGAGGUACACUACUAAAGAAAAGC